RNAcentral lists this ribosomal RNA (514 nucleotides) under Ustilago siamensis. RNAcentral's name for it is "LSU rRNA". It matches the Rfam family "Eukaryotic large subunit ribosomal RNA", at positions 119 to 649 of the family's 3401-position model. The record is from RNAcentral. Lineage: Eukaryota; Fungi; Basidiomycota; Ustilaginomycetes; Ustilaginales; Ustilaginaceae.
AAUCUGGCACCUUCGGUGUCCGAGUUGUAAUCUCUAGAAAUGUUUUCCGCGUUGGACCGCACACAAGUCUGUUGGAAUACAGCGGCAUAGUGGUGAGACCCCCGUAUAUGGUGCGGACGCCCAGCGCUUUGUGAUACAUUUUCGAAGAGUCGAGUUGUUUGGGAAUGCAGCUCAAAUUGGGUGGUAAAUUCCAUCUAAAGCUAAAUAUUGGCGAGAGACCGAUAGCGAACAAGUACCGUGAGGGAAAGAUGAAAAGCACUUUGGAAAGAGAGUUAACAGUACGUGAAAUUGUUGGAAGGGAAACGCUUGAAGUCAGACUUGCUUGCUGAGCAAUCGGUUUGCAGGCCAGCAUCAGUUUUCCGGGAUGGAUAAUGGUAGAGAGAAGGUAGCAGUUUCGGCUGUGUUAUAGCUCUCUGCUGGAUACAUCUUGGGGGACUGAGGAACGCAGUGUGCCUUUGGCGGGGGUUUCGACCUCUUCACACUUAGGAUGCUGGUGGAAUGGCUUUAAACGACC